AAUCAACGCUGGCGGCGUGCCUAACACAUGCAAGUCGCACGAGAAAGGGAGCAAUCCCUGAGUAAAGUGGCGCACGGGUGAGUAACACGUGAAUAAUCUACCUCCGAGUGGGGAAUAACUGAGAGAAAUCUUAGCUAAUACCGCAUAACACUUACGAGUCAAAGCAGCAAUGCGCUUGGAGAGGAGUUCGCGGCCGAUUAGUUAGUUGGCGGGGUAAUGGCCCACCAAGACGAUGAUCGGUAUCCGGCCUGAGAGGGCGCACGGACACACUGGAACUGAAACACGGUCCAGACUCCUACGGGAGGCAGCAGUGGGGAAUUUUGCGCAAUGGGGGAAA
RNAcentral lists this ribosomal RNA (337 nucleotides) under uncultured bacterium. RNAcentral's name for it is "bacterial SSU rRNA". It matches the Rfam family "Bacterial small subunit ribosomal RNA", at positions 32 to 380 of the family's 1533-position model. The record is from RNAcentral.